RNAcentral lists this long non-coding RNA (2831 nucleotides) under Setaria viridis. RNAcentral's name for it is "long non-coding RNA (SVIR_LNC008441)". The record is from RNAcentral. Lineage: Eukaryota; Viridiplantae; Streptophyta; Magnoliopsida; Poales; Poaceae.
CCCACCAGACAAAGGCAACGUUGGAACUGCAGCAUAUCUGAAUGUGUUCAGCUCCAUUUACUCUGUCCUCUCAGACCUCAAGAAGGACGGCUACAACGUUGAGGGCCUUCCAGACACACCUGAAGCCCUCAUCGAGGAGGUGAUCCAUGACAAGGAGGCCCAGUUCAACAGUCCGAACCUCAAUGUCGCUUACCGCAUGAAUGUGCGGGAGUACCAGUCUCUCACUUCCUAUGCCUCCUUGCUGGAGGAGAACUGGGGCAAGCCACCUGGGAACCUCAAUUCUGAUGGUGAAAACCUCCUUGUCUAUGGGAAGCAGUAUGGCAAUGUCUUCAUAGGUGUGCAGCCCACUUUUGGGUAUGAAGGUGACCCGAUGCGGCUUCUGUUCUCAAAGUCUGCCAGCCCUCACCAUGGCUUUGCAGCAUACUACACCUUUGUUGAGAAGAUCUUCCAGGCUGAUGCUGUUCUCCACUUCGGCACACAUGGAUCCCUCGAGUUCAUGCCGGGCAAACAGGUUGGGAUGAGUGAUACCUGCUACCCUGACAGUCUCAUUGGCAACAUCCCCAACAUCUACUACUAUGCAGCAAACAACCCAUCAGAGGCAACCGUCGCCAAGCGCCGGAGCUAUGCAAACACCAUCAGCUACCUGACACCACCAGCUGAGAAUGCCGGUCUCUACAAGGGGCUCAAGCAGCUGUCAGAGCUCAUCUCUUCUUACCAGUCUCUCAAGGACACAGGGCGUGGUCCUCAGAUUGUGAGCUCAAUCAUCAGCACUGCUAAACAGUGUAACCUUGACAAGGAUGUCCCGUUGCCUGAGGAAGGCGAGGAGCUCCCACCGAAGGAGCGGGACCUUAUUGUUGGGAAGGUGUAUGCGAAGAUCAUGGAGAUAGAAUCACGGCUCCUGCCGUGUGGUCUGCAUGUGAUCGGUGAGCCACCAAGUGCUAUUGAGGCUGUGGCCACAUUGGUGAACAUUGCCGCCCUUGACCGCCCAGAAGAGGGCAUAAGCUCACUGCCCAGCAUACUUGCUGCAACAGUGGGCAGGGACAUUGAAGAUGUGUACAGGGGAAGUGACAAGGGCAUACUGGCUGAUGUUGAGCUUCUGAGGCAGAUAACUGAAGCUUCUCGUGGUGCCAUCACUAGCUUUGUUGAGAAGACCACAAACAGCAAAGGGCAAGUCGUAAAUGUCACUAACAAUCUCAGUAACAUUCUUGGCUUUGGUCUCUCAGAACCAUGGGUGCAGUACUUGUCCACGACCAAGUUCAUCAGGGCAGACAGAGAGAAGCUGAGGGUCUUAUUUGGAUUCUUGGGGGAGUGCUUAAAACUCAUUGUGCAAGACAAUGAGCUGGGCAGCUUGAAGCUUGCCCUUGAGGGAAGCUAUGUUGAGCCUGGCCCUGGCGGUGAUCCGAUCCGUAACCCGAAGGUUCUCCCAACAGGGAAGAACAUCCAUGCCCUUGACCCACAGUCCAUCCCAACUGCAGCUGCCCUGAAGAGUGCCAAGAUCGUUGUUGACCGUCUGCUGGAGAGGCAAAAGGCUGACAAUGGUGGCAAGUAUCCUGAGACAGUUGCACUUGUCUUGUGGGGCACCGAUAACAUCAAGACCUAUGGUGAGUCAUUGGCCCAGGUGCUGUGGAUGAUUGGUGUCCGGCCAGUGGCUGACACCUUCGGCCGUGUCAACCGUGUGGAGCCUGUCAGCCUUGAGGAGCUUGGACGUCCAAGGAUUGACGUCGUCGUCAAUUGCUCGGGUGUCUUCAGGGAUCUCUUCAUCAACCAGGUAUGAAUUGAAUACCUCACCACAUUUAAAUUUUGGCUUGUGUGUACUGAAUUUGCAUACACAUCGAGAAUAGAUGCAUUGCUGCACUGGUCUGAACGAUUUAGUUAUGGAACAACGUAUUUUGAUGCGUGCAGAUGAACCUGUUGGACCGCGCAGUGAAGAUGGUCGCUGAACUAGAUGAGCCAGUAGAGAUGAACUAUGUGCGCAAGCAUGCCCAGGAGCAGGCAGAGGAGCUGGGUGUCCCACUAAGAGAGGCAGCAACAAGGGUGUUCUCAAAUGCAUCAGGGUCCUACUCGUCAAAUGUGAAUUUGGCAGUGGAGAAUGCAUCAUGGACCGAUGAGAAGCAGCUCCAGGACAUGUACCUGAGCCGCAAGUCCUUUGCAUUCGACAGUGACGCUCCAGGGGCAGGCAUGAAGGAGAAGCGCAAGGCAUUUGAGCUUGCUCUGGCAACUGCAGAUGCCACAUUCCAGAACCUCGACUCGUCGGAGAUCUCACUGACAGAUGUGAGCCACUACUUCGACUCGGACCCAACAAAGCUGGUGCAAGGGCUGCGGAAGGAUGGACGGGCACCUGCCUCUUACAUAGCAGAUACAACCACAGCAAAUGCACAGGUGAGAACACUGUCGGAGACGGUGCGUCUUGAUGCAAGGACAAAGCUACUGAACCCAAAGUGGUAUGAGGGGAUGAUGAAGAGCGGCUAUGAGGGAGUUAGAGAGAUCGAGAAGCGGCUCACAAACACUGUUGGGUGGAGUGCAACAUCCGGACAAGUUGACAACUGGGUUUAUGAGGAGGCAAAUUCCACAUUCAUUGAAGAUGAGGCGAUGAGGAAGAGGCUCAUGGAGACCAACCCCAACUCAUUCAGGAAGCUGGUCCAGACCUUCCUAGAAGCCAGCGGCAGAGGCUAUUGGGAGACGUCAGAGGAGAAUUUGGAAAAGCUCAGGGAGCUCUACUCAGAGGUUGAAGACAAGAUUGAGGGCAUUGACCGGUAAAUUGGUUUGCCCGAUGGAUCAGUUCCAGCAUUCCACCAAAUAGAAGCUCGGAGCUCUUCUGUCUCACUGAGUUG